Long non-coding RNA from Patella vulgata (common limpet), 428 nucleotides. RefSeq lists it as uncharacterized. NCBI's taxonomy places the organism in Eukaryota, Metazoa, Mollusca, Gastropoda, Patellidae. The record is from RefSeq and is a predicted model, not a curated record. The transcript is spliced from 3 exons.
AAAGGAGCUCAAGCUAUAACCCAAUAUUUAACACAUGGUUCAAAUGGUAUAACAUAUGAAACACAUAUAACGGUACAUCAACUUUAAAGGAGCUAAAGCUAUAACUCAAUAUUUAACACAUGGUUUUAGAUAGUAUAAUUUCAGCACUGCACAAACUGCGGGUGAUCACUGGACAUUUUGGGAACACUGGAACUGCGCACUUAUAUACAGACGUCUUUAAAUGCAAUUCAAAUUGAGUAUAAAAUAGAAUUGAUCAUAUACAUAUAAAUAAAACAUAGUUACCAUAUGCAUACAGUCUUCAAGAACGAAAAAUUAAAGAUGCCCAAAUGAGGGCCACAAUCAACCAAAAACUUGUAGAAACUGGUGAAAGGGAAAGAUUAAAGGAAUUAUUAAGAACACGUUUGGUGGAAUGUGGGUGGAGAGAUCAG